GCUACCACUUACAGAUGGACCCGCGGCGCAUUAGCUAGUUGGUGAGGUAACGGCUCACCAAGGCGACGAUGCGUAGCCGACCUGAGAGGGUGAUCGGCCACACUGGGACUGAGACACGGCCCAGACUCCUACGGGAGGCAGCAGUAGGGAAUCUUCCGCAAUGGACGAAAGUCUGACGGAGCAACGCCGCGUGAGUGAUGAAGGUUUUCGGAUCGUAAAACUCUGUUGUUAGGGAAGAACAAGUACCGUUCGAAUAGGGCGGUACCUUGACGGUACCUAACCAGAAAGCCACGGCUAACUACGUGCCAGCAGCCGCGGUAAUACGUAGGUGGCAAGCGUUGUCCGGAAUUAUUGGGCGUAAAGCGCGCGCAGGCGGUUUCUUAAGUCUGAUGUGAAAGCCCCCGGCUCAACCGGGGAGGGUCAUUGGAAACUGGGGAACUUGAGUGCAGA
This 450-nucleotide ribosomal RNA is filed under the name Bacillus licheniformis. RNAcentral describes it as "bacterial SSU rRNA". It matches the Rfam family "Bacterial small subunit ribosomal RNA", at positions 211 to 652 of the family's 1533-position model. Lineage: Bacteria; Bacillati; Bacillota; Bacilli; Caryophanales; Bacillaceae. The record is from RNAcentral.